RNAcentral lists this transfer RNA (66 nucleotides) under Neuronema laminatum. RNAcentral's name for it is "tRNA-Pro". Lineage: Eukaryota; Metazoa; Arthropoda; Insecta; Neuroptera; Hemerobiidae. The record is from RNAcentral.
UCAGAAAAAAGACUUCAAACUUUUCAAUAAUCUCCAAAAUUAUUAUUUUUAAUAAACUAUUUUCUG